GUAGGCAGAGUGGUCUCACUCUGGACCUUAGGGGUGGAGUCCCCGCCUCCUGGUGCAGCAGCAGCAAAGAUAGAUGGGGAGCCACCUGUCAGAGGGCAGUGGGCGGGAGCCGGGGCCGCAACGGCCGCAGGACCGGAGGGCGAGCGCGACUGAGCGCACGCUCAGAGGAGCCAGCUCGCAGAAGGUGAUGGUCUAAGACCCUGGAAGCUGAAGGCCAGUGGGAGGGAAAGAUUGUCACGGAGGUGAGACAGAGCUGCGAGAGGUGGAGGAUUCUGGAGGUGACAGCAAGGAGAGUAAGAAACUACGCAGGGCGGCCGAAGCUUCUGCGGAGACUCCAGGCGGGCAGCGCUGCAGGAGGGCCCCGCCGGGGCGGGGGUGCCAUGUCUCGCGAGCGGCCCCCCCGCACCGACAUCCCCCGCAACCUGAGCUUCAUCGCUGCGCUGACAGAGCGCGCCUACUACCGCAGCCAGCGGCCCAGCCUCGAGGAGGAGCCAGAGGAGGAGCCAGGAGAGCGCGGGACGCGCCUUGGGGCCCGAUCCCGCGCUCACGCUCCAAGUCGCGGGCGCCGGGCCCGCUCGGCGCCCGCCGCAGGCGGCGCGGCCAGAGCGCCCCGCAGCCGCAGCCCCGACACCCGCAAGAGAGUGCGUUUCGCCGACGCGCUGGGGCUGGAGCUGGCCGCUGUGCGCCGCUUCUGCCCGGGAGAGCUGCCUCGGGUGCCCCGCCACGUGCAGGUCCAGCUGCAGAGGGACGCCCUCCGCCACUUCGCGCCGUGCCAGCCCCGCGCCAGAGGCCUCCAGGAGGCGCGCGCCGCCCUGGAGCCGGCCAGCGAGCCCGGCUUCGCCGCCCGCUUGCAGGCGCAGCGCAUCUGCCUGGAACGCGCCGAGGCGGGCCCGCUGGGCGUGGCCGGGAGCGCGCGCGUGCUGGACCUGGCCUACGAGAAGCGCAAGGGGUGGAGAACCUACUUCCUUUUCUCCAAGACCGUGGUUGAUCCACCUUCCUUCCUCAGGCUCCUUCUUGACAGUCUUCUAGAAAGAAGAAGGAAAAGUAGUUCCUGAUGCUGCAGAUGAACAAGGAGCUCCCAGGUAACUAGCUACCCACACCCCUUUCUGUCUGUUACAGAUUUCUCAAAAAUAUCUGGAUUCCCCUUUUAUCAUUCAGUGAGAGAGGGUCCGGGCACAUUUGCCCAUACAUGCAUUCAGAGUAGAGUAUGGAACUUGUUACUGUGCCUCUCCUCUCCAAAGCCUUAAUCCUUUGAAGAAAGAUGGCUGGAAAAGAGAAAUCCCAUCAUUCCUCAAAUGCCCAUUUAAACAUCAUCCUUUUCUGGUGAAGAAAACAAAGAAUUUCAUGCAUCUCGUGGAUCACCUCCAGGUCAGAGUUCCAGCAGAGGGAAGAGAGACAGUGUACUGGACGCCACCAAGCAAUGCACCUUUUAAUCACCAAUGAAGAGCCCAAGGGAGGAUAAUGGAGCGGGAGACUAUGCCAAGGCUCGGUGUAUAAUAAUCUCUUGCUUAAUUCUCCCCCACUGGCUUGGAGAAGGCAAAGCACUGAGGGUCCCUAGCUUCAUCUGCUCCUUCCAGGGGCUUGCUGUUGUCUCCUGUGCCAGUGUCCCAGCUCUGCAGAAUCAGCAAGGAACGACUGCACCUGCCUGCUGGAGAACUUGCGAACCCAUUUGAACUCCAGCCUCUCCAUACUUUGGAAUUCUCGCCUGGCCUUAGCCAGUCUUCUAUGCUUGGCAGAAAGAGAGACAAAAGGGACUGGUAUGUCCCCAGCCUUGGCACUUUCAGUGAUACUGCUGAAGAACAGUGAAGUUGCUAAAAUAAUCCAUUUAAUAGCUAACUUCGAGGGGAAAUGAAAGUUGCUGUGUGAAUCCCCCAAAACCACUGUUCCCAUCAGGUUCUCCCAGAACCACCUCUGACCCUUCACAGUGCAGCCCUGUUCACUGGGCUCCAGACUCACUGGUAUUGUGCCUCAUUUUGGCCUCCUCAUGCAAGUGGCCUCCCUCCUGGAUAAAAGACCUCAUAUUUGAAAUAAAGUUGAAAUAUGAAAAGAAAGUA
Phacochoerus africanus (Common warthog) is the source of this 2054-nucleotide RNA transcript. It is a transcript of the gene named protein phosphatase 1 regulatory subunit 3E, with no coding region annotated. Lineage: Eukaryota; Metazoa; Chordata; Mammalia; Artiodactyla; Suidae. The record is from RefSeq and is a predicted model, not a curated record. The transcript is spliced from 5 exons.